AGUGUGCGGUGGGUGAAGCGCCAGUGGCCGGA
RNAcentral lists this non-coding RNA (32 nucleotides) under Syntrophotalea carbinolica DSM 2380. Lineage: Bacteria; Pseudomonadati; Thermodesulfobacteriota; Desulfuromonadia; Desulfuromonadales; Syntrophotaleaceae. The record is from RNAcentral.